UACGGGGGGGGCGAGCGUUGUUCGGAAUUACUGGGCGUAAAGGGCUCGUAGGUGGCCAACUAAGUCAGACGUGAAAUCCCUCAGCUUAACUGGGGAACUGCGUCUGAUACUGGAUGGCUUGAGAUUGGGAGAGGGAUGCGGAAUUCCAGGUGUAGCGGUGAAAUGCGUAGAUAUCUGGAGGAACACCGGUGGCGAAGGCGGCAUCCUGGACCAACACUGACACUGAGGAGCGAAAGCCAGGGGAGCAAACGGG
RNAcentral lists this ribosomal RNA (253 nucleotides) under uncultured bacterium. RNAcentral describes it as "partial 16S ribosomal RNA". It matches the Rfam family "Bacterial small subunit ribosomal RNA", at positions 524 to 776 of the family's 1533-position model. The record is from RNAcentral.